UGAGGAAUAUUGGUCAAUGGGCGAGAGCCUGAACCAGCCAAGUAGCGUGUGGGACGAAUGCCCUAUGGGUUGUAAACCACUUUUGCAGGAGGGUAAAAUGCUUCACGUGUGGAGUAUUGCAAGUAUCCUGCGAAUAAGGACCGGCUAAUUCCGUGCCAGCAGCCGCGGUAAUACGGAGGAUGCGAGCGUUAUCCGGAUUUAUUGGGUUUAAAGGGUGCGCAGGCGGCGCGCCAAGUCAGCGGUCAAAGUUCCGGGCUCAACCCGGUGUCGCCGUUGAAACUGGCGUGCUCGAGUGCGUGCGAGGAAGGCGGAAUGCGUUGUGUAGCGGUGAAAUGCAUAGAUAUGACGCAGAACUCCGAUUGCGAAGGCAGCUUUCCAGCGCGCUACUGACGCUGAGGCACGAAAGCGUGGGGAUCGAACAGGAUUAGAUACCCUGGUAGU
This 441-nucleotide ribosomal RNA is filed under the name uncultured Porphyromonadaceae bacterium. RNAcentral describes it as "bacterial SSU rRNA". It matches the Rfam family "Bacterial small subunit ribosomal RNA", at positions 355 to 794 of the family's 1533-position model. Lineage: Bacteria; Pseudomonadati; Bacteroidota; Bacteroidia; Bacteroidales; Porphyromonadaceae. The record is from RNAcentral.